CGGAUUGCAGGCUGCAACUCGCCUGCAUGAAGUCGGAAUUGCUGUAAUCGCAGAUCAGCAUGCUGCGGUGAAUACGUUCCCGGGUCCUUGUACACACCGCCCGUCACACCAUGGGAGUCGGAAAUGCCCGAAGUCUGUGACCCAACCUGAGAGGGAGGGAGCAGCCGAAGGCAGGUCUGAUGACUGGGGUGAAGUCGUAACAAGGUAGC
This 209-nucleotide ribosomal RNA is filed under the name uncultured bacterium. RNAcentral describes it as "partial 16S ribosomal RNA". It matches the Rfam family "Bacterial small subunit ribosomal RNA", at positions 1294 to 1500 of the family's 1533-position model. The record is from RNAcentral.